GGUUAAGCGACUAAGCGUACACGGUGGAUGCCCUGGCAGUCAGAGGCGAUGAAGGGCGUGCUAAUCUGCGAUAAGCGCCGGUAAGGUGAUAUGAACCGUUAUAACCGGCGAUACCCGAAUGGGGAAACCCAGUGUGACUCGUCACACUAUCAUUAACUGAAUCCAUAGGUUAAUGAGGCGAACCGGGGGAACUGAAACAUCUAAGUACCCCGAGGAAAAGAAAUCAACCGAGAUUCCCCCAGUAGCGGCGAGCGAACGGGGAGGAGCCCAGAGCCUGAAUCAGCAUGUGUGUUAGUGGAAGCGUCUGGAAAGGCGCGCGAUACAGGGUGACAGCCCCGUACACAAAAGCGCAUGUGCUGUGAGCUCGAUGAGUAGGGCGGGACACGUGGUAUCCUGUCUGAAUAUGGGGGGACCAUCCUCCAAGGCUAAAUACUCCUGACUGACCGAUAGUGAACCAGUACCGUGAGGGAAAGGCGAAAAGAACCCCGGCGAGGGGAGUGAAAAAGAACCUGAAACCGUGUACGUACAAGCAGUGGGAGCACAGGUUUACCUGUGUGACUGCGUACCUUUUGUAUAAUGGGUCAGCGACUUAUAUUCUGUAGCAAGGUUAACCGAAUAGGGGAGCCGGAGGGAAACCGAGUCUUAAUUGGGCGUUAAGUUGCAGGGUAUAGACCCGAAACCCGGUGAUCUAGCCAUGGGCAGGUUGAAGGUUGGGUAACACUAACUGGAGGACCGAACCGACUAAUGUUGAAAAAUUAGCGGAUGACCUGUGGCUGGGGGUGAAAGGCCAAUCAAACCGGGAGAUAGCUGGUUCUCCCCGAAAGCUAUUUAGGUAGCGCCUCGUGAAUUCAUCUCCGGGGGUAGAGCACUGUUUCGGCUAGGGGGCCAUCCCGGCUUACCAACCCGAUGCAAACUGCGAAUACCGGAGAAUGUUAUCACGGGAGACACACGGCGGGUGCUAACGUCCGUCGUGAAGAGGGAAACAACCCAGACCGCCAGCUAAGGUCCCAAAGUCAUGGUUAAGUGGGAAACGAUGUGGGAAGGCCCAGACAGCCAGGAUGUUGGCUUAGAAGCAGCCAUCAUUUAAAGAAAGCGUAAUAGCUCACUGGUCGAGUCGGCCUGCGCGGAAGAUGUAACGGGGCUAAACCAUGCACCGAAGCUGCGGCAGCGACACUGUGUGUUGUUGGGUAGGGGAGCGUUCUGUAAGCCUGUGAAGGUGGCCUGUGAGGGUUGCUGGAGGUAUCAGAAGUGCGAAUGCUGACAUAAGUAACGAUAAAGCGGGUGAAAAGCCCGCUCGCCGGAAGACCAAGGGUUCCUGUCCAACGUUAAUCGGGGCAGGGUGAGUCGACCCCUAAGGCGAGGCCGAAAGGCGUAGUCGAUGGGAAACAGGUUAAUAUUCCUGUACUUGGUGUUACUGCGAAGGGGGGACGGAGAAGGCUAUGUUGGCCGGGCGACGGUUGUCCCGGUUUAAGCGUGUAGGCUGGUUUUCCAGGCAAAUCCGGAAAAUCAAGGCUGAGGCGUGACGACGAGGCACUACGGUGCUGAAGCAACAAAUGCCCUGCUUCCAGGAAAAGCCUCUAAGCAUCAGGUAACAUCAAAUCGUACCCCAAACCGACACAGGUGGUCAGGUAGAGAAUACCAAGGCGCUUGAGAGAACUCGGGUGAAGGAACUAGGCAAAAUGGUGCCGUAACUUCGGGAGAAGGCACGCUGACACGUAGGUGAAGUGAUUUACUCAUGGAGCUGAAGUCAGUCGAAGAUACCAGCUGGCUGCAACUGUUUAUUAAAAACACAGCACUGUGCAAACACGAAAGUGGACGUAUACGGUGUGACGCCUGCCCGGUGCCGGAAGGUUAAUUGAUGGGGUCAGCGCAAGCGAAGCUCCUGAUCGAAGCCCCGGUAAACGGCGGCCGUAACUAUAACGGUCCUAAGGUAGCGAAAUUCCUUGUCGGGUAAGUUCCGACCUGCACGAAUGGCGUAAUGAUGGCCAGGCUGUCUCCACCCGAGACUCAGUGAAAUUGAACUCGCUGUGAAGAUGCAGUGUACCCGCGGCAAGACGGAAAGACCCCGUGAACCUUUACUAUAGCUUGACACUGAACAUUGAGCCUUGAUGUGUAGGAUAGGUGGGAGGCUUUGAAGCGUGGACGCCAGUCUGCGUGGAGCCGACCUUGAAAUACCACCCUUUAAUGUUUGAUGUUCUAACGUGGACCCGUAAUCCGGGUUGCGGACAGUGUCUGGUGGGUAGUUUGACUGGGGCGGUCUCCUCCUAAAGAGUAACGGAGGAGCACGAAGGUUGGCUAAUCCUGGUCGGACAUCAGGAGGUUAGUGCAAUGGCAUAAGCCAGCUUGACUGCGAGCGUGACGGCGCGAGCAGGUGCGAAAGCAGGUCAUAGUGAUCCGGUGGUUCUGAAUGGAAGGGCCAUCGCUCAACGGAUAAAAGGUACUCCGGGGAUAACAGGCUGAUACCGCCCAAGAGUUCAUAUCGACGGCGGUGUUUGGCACCUCGAUGUCGGCUCAUCACAUCCUGGGGCUGAAGUAGGUCCCAAGGGUAUGGCUGUUCGCCAUUUAAAGUGGUACGCGAGCUGGGUUUAGAACGUCGUGAGACAGUUCGGUCCCUAUCUGCCGUGGGCGCUGGAGAACUGAGGGGGGCUGCUCCUAGUACGAGAGGACCGGAGUGGACGCAUCACUGGUGUUCGGGUUGUCAUGCCAAUGGCACUGCCCGGUAGCUAAAUGCGGAAGAGAUAAGUGCUGAAAGCAUCUAAGCACGAAACUUGCCCCGAGAUGAGUUCUCCCUGAGACUUAGAGUCUCCUGAAGGAACGUUGAAGACGACGACGUUGAUAGGCCGGGUGUGUAAGCGCAGCGAUGCGUUGAGCUAACCGGUACUAAUGAACCGUGAGGCUUAACCUU
This 2905-nucleotide ribosomal RNA is filed under the name Salmonella enterica subsp. enterica serovar Newport. RNAcentral's name for it is "23S ribosomal RNA". It matches the Rfam family "Bacterial large subunit ribosomal RNA". Lineage: Bacteria; Pseudomonadati; Pseudomonadota; Gammaproteobacteria; Enterobacterales; Enterobacteriaceae. The record is from RNAcentral.